CAUCUUCCUUUGAGGAUCCUAUUCGGAGUGAACCGGAGUGAACGGUUCGUUCGUGAUGUUUCAGAGACAAGCCUUGGUUUUCCUUUGGUGUCCCCUCGGUCUCCUCAGGCGAGCGUGAUGUAUGGUGCAGUGAUGUGGCGGUCCCCCCCUCGCCUCUGUCACACUGCUGACAGGUCUGUCCCGACUACGAGCAGAUUGAAUUGCAAAUCUCCUGCCUUCUGUUGGCGUCCGAGGAUGAACUGGCCCUUUGCAGCCGGCCAUUCAUGUGCUAAUGUGAGGGGCAAGGGGGGCCCCGGGGCCACAGAGAGUCACAUGAGGGGACACUUCGGACUGACUUCCAAAAAAUACUAUUUAUCAGAUUGAAUUUGGACUAUCAGACUGGUAUGUGUACACUUCACUACAUAUGUUGUUAACAUAUAACCCUGAUUAACCAAACUGAUGGCAGACAUGUUUAGAAAUCCUGGCUUCUGUUGUGUUUUCUUUAAAAGCACAGGUGUUAACUUUGCAGGCUGCACAUAAGUCAUGACUGACAGUGACAUGAGUUCAGUGGUGUGUAUGUGUGUGUGUGUGUGCAUGUGUGUGUGUGAUUGUGUGUAAUUGUGGAUGCGGCAUGAGCUUUAGAUUUAGAUGACAAAGUGUUAAAGCACCAAGACAUGUAAUCCAGUCACUUUACAUGUACUUAUCCAUUCAGCACAUGGCAGGCUGUUCCUCUGCUGUCACCAACAGAUCCGUCUGUAAAUAAAUCCACAACAAAAUA
Non-coding RNA from Pimephales promelas (fathead minnow), 757 nucleotides. The record is from RefSeq and is a predicted model, not a curated record. NCBI's taxonomy places the organism in Eukaryota, Metazoa, Chordata, Actinopteri, Cypriniformes, Leuciscidae.